RNAcentral lists this ribosomal RNA (370 nucleotides) under uncultured eukaryote. Its description in RNAcentral is "partial 18S ribosomal RNA". It matches the Rfam family "Eukaryotic small subunit ribosomal RNA", at positions 592 to 976 of the family's 1831-position model. The record is from RNAcentral.
CAAGAGCGUAUAUUAAAGUUGUUGCAGUUAAAAAGCUCGUAGUUGGAUUUCUGGUCGGAAGCUCCUGUCCUCUGAUGAGCGUACAAGUGCGUCCUACCAUCCUUCUGUUAACCUUUAAGGCUUUCGCGGCUUUCUAGGGGCUCAGAUAUUUUACCUUGAGAAAAUUAGAGUGUUUCAGGCAGGCUAGCGCCGGAAUACAUUAGCAUGGAAUAAUGGAAUAGGACUUUUGCCUCUUCUGUUGGUCAUGAGGCUCGAGUAAUGAUUAAUAGGGAUAGUUGGGGGCAUUAGUACUUAACUGUCAGAGGUGAAAUUCUCGGAUUUGUUAAAGACUAACUUAUGCGAAAGCAUUUGCCAAGGAUGUUUUCAUUAA